This 1724-nucleotide long non-coding RNA is filed under the name Homo sapiens (human). RNAcentral's name for it is "long non-coding RNA NONHSAT163254.1". The record is from RNAcentral. Lineage: Eukaryota; Metazoa; Chordata; Mammalia; Primates; Hominidae.
UGGCGAGUGUGCAGUGUUGGGGGAGGGCGUUUGCUGGCAGAGUCAAGGAGAGGUUGAGGAGGCUGUGAGGAGGAAGGAAGAGGGACGAGGCAGUGCCUGCUGACACUGAGAUGGGUGGGCUUCAGGGCUCAUGUUCCGCCGAGGGCAUCAGGAGGCACUCGAGGUGUGAAUGGUUUGAUUAGGCUGAGGUGGAAUCUGAAGACAGAAAAUAAAGCGGAGCUGUCUGAGCUCUGGGAAUGAGGGGCAGGUAAAGGCUGGGUACAGACAACCAGGACCCCAGGGGAACAGGCCAUAGGAGGUGGUGGGGAUGGAGAAGGACCUGAAACCUGCCAGAGGAGCAGAAAACAGGGAAAGGGUGAGGUACCCAGUCCAGGACAACACGCAAAGAGUGAGUCAGUGGGAGACUCAGGGAACAGCUGAAAGUCACAUGGGGAAGUUUGCAGCAGCUGAGCCCAGCAGGUAGUGACCAGCCAGAGCCAUUGUGGUGCAUGAUGCACUCUGGGCGAGACAAGGAGGACCAUCACUGAGCCACCACGUGCGCCACUCCGCAACAGAUCUUCUUCCUACCCCCUGUCCUUCUUCCACCAGAUCUCUGCUGAUAAGAAAAGCCUGGGGAGGUUCUGUGGGCAACUGGGUUCUCCACUGGGCAACCCCCCGGGAAAGAAGGAAUUUAUGUCCCAAGGGAACAAGAUGCUGCUGACCUUCCACACAGACUUCUCCAACGAGGAGAAUGGGACCAUCAUGUUCUACAAGGGCUUCCUGGCCUACUACCAAGCUGUGGGUGAGUAGCCCCCCAGGGAUCCCUUUUCUCUGACCUCAGCCAUAUUGAAUGGGGGGCCAAGAAAGGGAAUCUUGAAUGCAAAGAAGCCGAAAGCCUGGCUUUCCUUGUUCCUCCCCUCGAGAGAGCUUUUCCUAACGAGGCCUGUCAACCUGGGCUCUGUCCCCAUGGAGCAGUCCCCAGAGAGCAUUGGAGAGGCCUGGAGGUCCAGGUGGCCUAAAGAUGCCUUUGUCUUUAGGUCUCUGGUGAGUGACCUCCCUAAGAUCAGAGCCACUACUCAGGUCUCCCAGCAGAAGCUUAACCCUCCUUCCUGAAUGCCUUCCAGACCUUGAUGAAUGUGCUUCCCGGAGCAAAUCAGGGGAGGAGGAUCCCCAGCCCCAGUGCCAGCACCUGUGUCACAACUACGUUGGAGGCUACUUCUGUUCCUGCCGUCCAGGCUAUGAGCUUCAGGAAGACAGGCAUUCCUGCCAGGCUGAGUGCAGCAGCGAGCUGUACACGGAGGCAUCAGGCUACAUCUCCAGCCUGGAGUACCCUCGGUCCUACCCCCCUGACCUGCGCUGCAACUACAGCAUCCGGGUGGAGCGGGGCCUCACCCUGCACCUCAAGUUCCUGGAGCCUUUUGAUAUUGAUGACCACCAGCAAGUACACUGCCCCUAUGACCAGCUACAGGUACAGCCGUCCUACCCCUGAAAGACCCCUUCCUCCCCUUCUGUCUGCACUUGGCUCCUCUUGUCCCAACUUCCUCCUGGAUCCCCUGGCCAGCUGGGGCAGGAACGGCCAACAUCACCCAUGGGCUGGGUAAGUUCCCACACAACUAGAAUUGGGUCAUGGGGAUCCCUUUUCACCUUCCCCUGAAAACACACAUAAGGCAGGAUUUCAUCACCACCACCACCACCCUGGCCACCAGGCUACUACCCAGUUGGCCCUGUGUAAAAACGUCCAAGCU